AGAGUUUGAUCAUGGCUCAGGAUGAACGCUGGCGGCGUGCUUAACACAUGCAAGUCGAACGAAGCAUUUGCGACAGAUUUUUUCGGAAUGAAGUUGCUUAUGACUGAGUGGCGGACGGGUGAGUAACGCGUGGGUAACCUGCCUUGUACUGGGGGAUAGCAGCUGGAAACGGCUGGUAAUACCGCAUAAGCGCACAAUGUUGCAUGACAUGGUGUGAAAAACUCCGGUGGUAUAAGAUGGACCCGCGUCUGAUUAGCUAGUUGGUGAGAUAACAGCCCACCAAGGCGACGAUCAGUAGCCGACCUGAGAGGGUGACCGGCCACAUUGGGACUGAGACACGGCCCAGACUCCUACGGGAGGCAGCAGUGGGGAAUAUUGCACAAUGGAGGAAACUCUGAUGCAGCGACGCCGCGUGAGUGAAGAAGUAAUUCGUUAUGUAAAGCUCUAUCAGCAGGGAAGAAAAUGACGGUACCUGACUAAGAAGCCCCGGCUAACUACGUGCCAGCCGCCGCGGUAAUAC
This 520-nucleotide ribosomal RNA is filed under the name uncultured bacterium. RNAcentral's name for it is "bacterial SSU rRNA". It matches the Rfam family "Bacterial small subunit ribosomal RNA", at positions 8 to 526 of the family's 1533-position model. The record is from RNAcentral.